RNAcentral lists this unclassified non-coding RNA (200 nucleotides) under soil metagenome. Its description in RNAcentral is "partial contains internal transcribed spacer 2 and large subunit ribosomal RNA". The record is from RNAcentral.
UUGUCGGUCGUAAAGAUCGACUCAGCUGAAAUACACGAGCGAGACCCCAUUUCAAAUGGCAGCGGCUUGACUCGGCGUAAUAAUAUUAUCGCUGAGGACGUUGCACAUAUGUUUGGAUAGUGGCAGCUUCUAAUGCGAUUCAGUUUGAGUCAACUUAAGCUUUAGACCUCAAAUCAGUCAGGACUACCCGCUGAACUUAA